RNAcentral lists this ribosomal RNA (497 nucleotides) under uncultured bacterium. RNAcentral's name for it is "partial 16S ribosomal RNA". It matches the Rfam family "Bacterial small subunit ribosomal RNA", at positions 28 to 507 of the family's 1533-position model. The record is from RNAcentral.
GACGAACGCUGGCGGCGUGCCUAAUACAUGCAAGUAGAACGCUGAAACUUGGUGCUUGCACCGAGCGGAUGAGUUGCGAACGGGUGAGUAACGCGUAGGUAACCUGCCUGGUAGCGGGGGAUAACUAUUGGAAACGAUAGCUAAUACCGCAUAAGAGUAGAUGUUGCAUGACAUUUGCUUAAAAUGUGCAAUUGCACCACUACCAGAUGGACCUGCGUUGUAUUAGCUAGUUGGUGGGGUAACGGCUCACCAAGGCGACGAUACAUAGCCGACCUGAGAGGGUGAUCGGCCACACUGGGACUGAGACACGGCCCAGACUCCUACGGGAGGCAGCAGUAGGGAAUCUUCGGCAAUGGACGGAAGUCUGACCGAGCAACGCCGCGUGAGUGAAGAAGGUUUUCGGAUCGUAAAGCUCUGUUGUAAGAGAAGAACGAGUGUGAGAGUGGAAAGUUCACACUGUGACGGUAUCUGACCAGAAAGGGACGGCUAACUACGUG